CCUACGGGAGGCAGCAGUGAGGAAUAUUGGUCAAUGGACGGAAGCCUGAACCAGCCAUGCCGCGUGCAGGAAGACGGCUCUAUGAGUUGUAAACUGCUUUUGUACAAGGGUAAACCUGAAUACGUGUAUUCAGCUGAAAGGACCGUACGAAUAAGGAUCGGCUAACUCCGUGCCAGCAGCCGCGGUAAUACGGAGGAUCCAAGGGUUGUCCGGAUUUAUUGGGUUUAAAGGGUGCGUAGGCGGAUUGAUAAGUUAGAGGGGAAAGGUCCGAGCUUAACUCGGGAACUGCCUCUGAUACUGUUGAUCUAGAGUGUAGAUGCGGUAGGCGGAAUGUAUGGUGUAGCGGUGAAAUGCUUAGAGAUCAUGCAGAACACCGAUUGCGAAGGCAGCUUACCAAUCUAUAUCUGACGUUGAGGCACGAAAGCGUGGGGAGCAAACAGGAUUAGAUACCCUUGUAGUC
This 460-nucleotide ribosomal RNA is filed under the name uncultured bacterium. Its description in RNAcentral is "partial 16S ribosomal RNA". It matches the Rfam family "Bacterial small subunit ribosomal RNA", at positions 338 to 795 of the family's 1533-position model. The record is from RNAcentral.